GUCGGCUUCGUCUAACGGUAAGACGACGGAUUCCAAACCCGUUAGUGAGGGUUCAGUUCCUUCAGCCGGCGCCA
This 74-nucleotide transfer RNA is filed under the name Candidatus Doudnaibacteriota bacterium. RNAcentral describes it as "Candidatus Doudnabacteria bacterium tRNA-Trp". It matches the Rfam family "tRNA". Rfam says of the family: Transfer RNA (tRNA) molecules are approximately 80 nucleotides in length. Their secondary structure includes four short double-helical elements and three loops (D, anti-codon, and T loops). Further hydrogen bonds mediate the characteristic L-shaped molecular structure. tRNAs have two regions of fundamental functional importance: the anti-codon, which is responsible for specific mRNA codon recognition, and the 3' end, to which the tRNAs corresponding amino acid is attached (by aminoacyl-tRNA synthetases). tRNAs cope with the degeneracy of the genetic code in two manners: having more than one tRNA (with a specific anti-codon) for a particular amino acid; and 'wobble' base-pairing, i.e. permitting non-standard base-pairing at the 3rd anti-codon position. Lineage: Bacteria; Candidatus Doudnaibacteriota. The record is from RNAcentral.